UACCAGCACCCCGAGUGGUCGGGACGUUUAUUGGGCCUAAAGCAUCCGUAGCCGGUUCUACAAGUCUUCCGUUAAAUCCACCUGCUUAGCAGAUGGGCUGCGGAGGAUACUAUGGAGCUAGGAGGCGGGAGAGGCAAGCGGUACUUAGUGGGUAGGGGUAAAAUCCGUUGAUCCAUUGAAGACCACCAGUGGCGAAGGCGGCUUGCCAGAACGCACUCGACGGUGAGGGAUGAAAGCUGGGGGAGCAAACCGG
RNAcentral lists this ribosomal RNA (253 nucleotides) under uncultured bacterium. RNAcentral's name for it is "partial 16S ribosomal RNA". It matches the Rfam family "Archaeal small subunit ribosomal RNA", at positions 474 to 727 of the family's 1478-position model. The record is from RNAcentral.